This 587-nucleotide ribosomal RNA is filed under the name uncultured bacterium. RNAcentral describes it as "bacterial SSU rRNA". It matches the Rfam family "Bacterial small subunit ribosomal RNA", at positions 102 to 685 of the family's 1533-position model. The record is from RNAcentral.
ACGGGUGAGUAAUGCCUAGGAAUCUGCCUGGUAGUGGGGGAUAACGCUCGGAAACGGACGCUAAUACCGCAUACGUCCUACGGGAGAAAGCAGGGGACCUUCGGGCCUUGCGCUAUCAGAUGAGCCUAGGUCGGAUUAGCUAGUUGGUGAGGUAAUGGCUCACCAAGGCGACGAUCCGUAACUGGUCUGAGAGGAUGAUCAGUCACACUGGAACUGAGACACGGUCCAGACUCCUACGGGAGGCAGCAGUGGGGAAUAUUGGACAAUGGGCGAAAGCCUGAUCCAGCCAUGCCGCGUGUGUGAAGAAGGUCUUCGGAUUGUAAAGCACUUUAAGUUGGGAGGAAGGGCAUUAACCUAAUACGUUAGUGUUUUGACGUUACCGACAGAAUAAGCACCGGCUAACUCUGUGCCAGCAGCCGCGGUAAUACAGAGGGUGCAAGCGUUAAUCGGAAUUACUGGGCGUAAAGCGCGCGUAGGUGGUUUGUUAAGUUGGAUGUGAAAUCCCCGGGCUCAACCUGGGAACUGCAUUCAAAACUGACAAGCUAGAGUAUGGUAGAGGGUGGUGGAAUUUCCUGUGUAGCGGUGAA